RNAcentral lists this ribosomal RNA (508 nucleotides) under uncultured bacterium. RNAcentral describes it as "bacterial SSU rRNA". It matches the Rfam family "Bacterial small subunit ribosomal RNA", at positions 382 to 903 of the family's 1533-position model. The record is from RNAcentral.
CCUGACGCAGCGACGCCGCGUGAGUGAUGAAGGCCUUCGGGUCGUAAAGCUCUGUCGUAUGGGAAUAACACAAUGAAUGUACCAUGCAAGAAAGGAUCGGCUAACUUCGUGCCAGCAGCCGCGGUAAGACGAGGGAUCCUAGCGUUGUUCGGAAUCAUUGGGCGUAAAGCGGGUGUAGGCGGGCUUCUAAGUCAGAUGUGAAAUCCCAGGGCUCAACCCUGGAAGUGCAUUUGAUACUGGAAGUCUUGAGUGUGGUAGAGGUUACUGGAAUUGUUGGUGUAGUGGUGAAAUACGUAGAUAUCAACAGGAAUACCGGAGGCGAAGGCGAGUAACUGGGCCAACACUGACGCUGAGACCCGAAAGCGUGGGGAUCAAACAGGAUUAGAUACCCUGGUAGUCCACGCCAUAAACGAUGGAUACUUGUUGUUAGAGGUAUUGACCCCUCUAGUGACGUAGCUAACGCGUUAAGUAUCCCGCCUGGGGAGUACGGUCGCAAGAUUAAAACUCA